GACACAAUUUCACAAUGAAGCCGAAUCUAAGACAUGCACACAUCGCCCGUCACUCUCGCCUAAAGGCGAGAUAAGUCGUAACAAAGUAGGUGUAACGGAAGUUGCACCUGU
This 111-nucleotide ribosomal RNA is filed under the name Allolobophora moebii. Its description in RNAcentral is "Aporrectodea moebii partial 12S ribosomal RNA". Lineage: Eukaryota; Metazoa; Annelida; Clitellata; Crassiclitellata; Lumbricidae. The record is from RNAcentral.